This 496-nucleotide ribosomal RNA is filed under the name uncultured bacterium. RNAcentral describes it as "partial 16S ribosomal RNA". It matches the Rfam family "Bacterial small subunit ribosomal RNA", at positions 30 to 523 of the family's 1533-position model. The record is from RNAcentral.
AUUGAACGCUGGCGGAAUGCUUUACACAUGCAAGUCGAACGGUAGAGGGGGCAACCCCUUGAGAGUGGCGAACGGGUGAGUAAUGUAUCGGAACGUGCCCAGUCGUGGGGGAUAACGUAGUGAAAAUUACGCUAAUACCGCAUACGAUCUAUGGAUGAAAGCGGGGGAUCGCAAGACCUCGCGCGAUUGGAGCGGCCGAUAUCAGAUUAGGUAGUUGGUGGGGUAAAGGCUCACCAAGCCAACGAUCUGUAGCUGGUCUGAGAGGACGACCGGCCACACUGGAACUGAGACACGGUCCAGACUCCUACGGGAGGCAGCAGUGGGGAAUUUUGGACAAUGGACGCAAGUCUGAUCCAGCCAUUCCGCGUGCAGGACGAAGGCCUUCGGGUUGUAAACUGCUUUUGUACGGAACGAAAAAGCUCUUAUUAAUACUAGGAGUCCAUGACGGUACCGUAAGAAUAAGCACCGGCUAACUACGUGCCAGCAGCCGCAGUAA